GCCUGGAUAGCUCAAUUGGUAGAGCAUCAGACUUUUAAUCUGAGGGUCCAGGGUUCAAGUCCCUCUCUAAGCA
RNAcentral lists this transfer RNA (73 nucleotides) under Scleropages formosus (Asian bonytongue). It matches the Rfam family "tRNA". Rfam says of the family: Transfer RNA (tRNA) molecules are approximately 80 nucleotides in length. Their secondary structure includes four short double-helical elements and three loops (D, anti-codon, and T loops). Further hydrogen bonds mediate the characteristic L-shaped molecular structure. tRNAs have two regions of fundamental functional importance: the anti-codon, which is responsible for specific mRNA codon recognition, and the 3' end, to which the tRNAs corresponding amino acid is attached (by aminoacyl-tRNA synthetases). tRNAs cope with the degeneracy of the genetic code in two manners: having more than one tRNA (with a specific anti-codon) for a particular amino acid; and 'wobble' base-pairing, i.e. permitting non-standard base-pairing at the 3rd anti-codon position. The record is from Rfam by way of RNAcentral. Lineage: Eukaryota; Metazoa; Chordata; Actinopteri; Osteoglossiformes; Osteoglossidae.